RNAcentral lists this transfer RNA (73 nucleotides) under Pseudobutyrivibrio sp. ACV-2. Its description in RNAcentral is "tRNA_Pro_TGG". It matches the Rfam family "tRNA". Rfam says of the family: Transfer RNA (tRNA) molecules are approximately 80 nucleotides in length. Their secondary structure includes four short double-helical elements and three loops (D, anti-codon, and T loops). Lineage: Bacteria; Bacillati; Bacillota; Clostridia; Lachnospirales; Lachnospiraceae. The record is from RNAcentral.
GGGCGUAGCUUAGUUUGGCUAGAGCACCUGGUUUGGGACCAAGGUGUCAAGAGUUCGAAUCUUUUCACGCACG